UCUUUUGAAUUUGACUAUUAG
RNAcentral lists this microRNA (21 nucleotides) under Glycine max (soybean). RNAcentral's name for it is "gma-miR4348b". Lineage: Eukaryota; Viridiplantae; Streptophyta; Magnoliopsida; Fabales; Fabaceae. The record is from miRBase by way of RNAcentral.